RNAcentral lists this transfer RNA (66 nucleotides) under Stenella longirostris (spinner dolphin). Its description in RNAcentral is "tRNA-Tyr". It matches the Rfam family "tRNA". From Rfam's summary of the family: Transfer RNA (tRNA) molecules are approximately 80 nucleotides in length. Their secondary structure includes four short double-helical elements and three loops (D, anti-codon, and T loops). Further hydrogen bonds mediate the characteristic L-shaped molecular structure. tRNAs have two regions of fundamental functional importance: the anti-codon, which is responsible for specific mRNA codon recognition, and the 3' end, to which the tRNAs corresponding amino acid is attached (by aminoacyl-tRNA synthetases). tRNAs cope with the degeneracy of the genetic code in two manners: having more than one tRNA (with a specific anti-codon) for a particular amino acid; and 'wobble' base-pairing, i.e. permitting non-standard base-pairing at the 3rd anti-codon position. Lineage: Eukaryota; Metazoa; Chordata; Mammalia; Artiodactyla; Delphinidae. The record is from RNAcentral.
GGUAAAAUGGNCGAGUAGGCAUUAGACUGUAAAUCUAAAGACAGAGGUNAAGUCCUCUUUUUNCCA